CCCAACAAAAAAAAAAGGAGCACAUGACAAUAUAGUCUAGCAACAUAAGAAGUACUAUCUUCAAUUGUGAAACCAAGUCAGAUGUGAACAAUAAUACAAUAACAGAUAUUUAAAAAGCUUUUCAAGGUUAAAAGACACAGCACACUAGAUGCACACCAAUCUCAACUGAAAAAACACUUGCAGCAAGAGAUAGGAUAGUUCGCAUACUACAGUCAGACGAUUUGCCUUCUUCUUCUUCUUCUUCUUCUUUGUUGGGCUCUUUCUAUUCUCUUGUUUUCCUGAUCUUUCUAAAUUUCUCCUGUAUGUACAAUCAAUAAAAUUAAAAUAUUAAAAAUAAGAAAAAAAUUAAAAGACCACCAUAAUACUCGAUAUUACUGUGCAAACAACUACAAAAAAUGGACAGAGUACUUGUGCUUCAUGCAUAAAAUUUGAUCAAAAAGCUAACAUAUUUGUAAAUAUUUAGAGUCUGAAAAUACUAUUUUCC
RNAcentral lists this long non-coding RNA (484 nucleotides) under Citrus sinensis (sweet orange). RNAcentral describes it as "long non-coding RNA (CSIN_LNC005836)". Lineage: Eukaryota; Viridiplantae; Streptophyta; Magnoliopsida; Sapindales; Rutaceae. The record is from RNAcentral.